AUCCAGAUGACGAGUCCCAAAUAGAACGAAAGGUGCGUCCUGGAU
Non-coding RNA from Schistosoma rodhaini, 45 nucleotides. The record is from Rfam. NCBI's taxonomy places the organism in Eukaryota, Metazoa, Platyhelminthes, Trematoda, Strigeidida, Schistosomatidae.